CGAGUGGUCGGGACGUUUAUUGGGCCUAAAGCAUCCGUAGCCGGUUCUACAAGUCUUCCGUUAAAUCCACCUGCUUAACAGAUGGGCUGCGGAAGAUACUAUGGAGCUAGGAGGCGGGAGAGGCAAGCGGUACUCGAUGGGUAGGGGUAAAAUCCGUUGAUCCAUUGAAGACCACCAGUGGCGAAGGCGGCUUGCCAGAACGCGCUCGACGGUGAGGGAUGAAAGCUGGGGGAGCAAACCGG
RNAcentral lists this ribosomal RNA (242 nucleotides) under uncultured bacterium. RNAcentral's name for it is "partial 16S ribosomal RNA". It matches the Rfam family "Archaeal small subunit ribosomal RNA", at positions 485 to 727 of the family's 1478-position model. The record is from RNAcentral.